UACGUAGGGUGCAAGCGUUGUCCGGAAUUAUUGGGCGUGAAGAGCUCGUAGGCGGUGUGUCACGUCGGCCGUGAAAACCUGCAGCUUAACUGUGGGCGUGCGGUCGAUACGGGCAUCACUGGAGUUCGGCAGGGGAGACUGGAAUUCCUGGUGUAGCGGUGAAAUGCGCAGAUAUCAGGAGGAACACCGGUGGCGAAGGCGGGUCUCUGGGCCGAUACUGACGCUGAGGAGCGAAAGCGUGGGGGGCAAACAGG
RNAcentral lists this ribosomal RNA (254 nucleotides) under uncultured bacterium. RNAcentral describes it as "partial 16S ribosomal RNA". It matches the Rfam family "Bacterial small subunit ribosomal RNA", at positions 524 to 776 of the family's 1533-position model. The record is from RNAcentral.